RNAcentral lists this ribosomal RNA (1554 nucleotides) under human gut metagenome. RNAcentral describes it as "bacterial LSU rRNA". It matches the Rfam family "Bacterial large subunit ribosomal RNA", at positions 1299 to 2925 of the family's 2925-position model. The record is from RNAcentral.
GGAAUGAGUAGCGAGAAUUAUGUGGGAAUCAUAAUGGCCGAAAAUCUAAGGUUUCCUGGGGAAGGUUCGUCCGCCCAGGGUAAGCCGGGAGCUAAGGCGAGGCCGCAAGGCGUAGUCGAUGCACAUACGGUAGAAAUUCCGUAGCCGGUACAAUUGUUAAUCACGGUGACACAUGAGUAUAGCUCUACCGGGCGUUGGUAGCCCCGGGCGUAAGCGAGCCGAAUGAGGCGAAGUGAGUAAAGCUUGUGGCGAGAAAAGCCGUGUGGAUUGGUUGUACUGCCCGUACCGCAAACCGACACAGGUAGAUGAGGAGAAGAUCCUAAGGCCAACGGGAGAAGGGUUGUUAAGGAACUAGGCAAAUUGACCCCGUAACUUCGGAAUAAGGGGUGCCUACGAAAGUAGGUCGCAGAGAAUAGGCCCAAGCAACUGUUUACCAAAAACACAGGUCUCUGCUAAAUCGAAAGAUGACGUAUAGGGGCUGACGCCUGCCCGGUGCUGGAAGGUUAAGAGGAGAGCUUAGGGAAACCGAAGGUUCGAAUUGAAGCCCCAGUAAACGGCGGCCGUAACUAUAACGGUCCUAAGGUAGCGAAAUUCCUUGUCAGGUAAGUUCUGACCCGCACGAAAGGCGUAAUGAUUUGGGCACUGUCUCAACAGCCCGCCCGGCGAAAUUGUAGUACCGGUGAAGAUGCCGGUUACCCGCAACUAGACGGAAAGACCCCAUGGAGCUUUACUGCAGCUUAAUACUGAGAUUCGGUAAAUCAUGUACAGGAUAGGUGGGAGACUGAGAAACAUGGCCGUCAGGUCAUGUGGAGUCGCUGUUGGGAUACCACCCUUGGUUUGCUGGAUUUCUAACCUGCUGCCCUGAAUCGGGUAGGGGGACACUGUUAGGCGGGCAGUUUGACUGGGGCGGUCGCCUCCUAAAAUGUAACGGAGGCGCUCAAAGGUUGGCUCAGCAUGGAUGGAAACCAUGCAAUGAGUGUAAACGUAUAAGCCAGCCUGACUGCGAGACCGACGGGUCGAGCAGAGACGAAAGUCGGAGUUAGUGAUCCGGUGGUAUGUGAGUGGAAAUGCCAUCGCUCAACGGAUAAAAGUUACCCUGGGGAUAACAGGCUGAUCUCCCCCAAGAGUCCACAUCGACGGGGAGGUUUGGCACCUCGAUGUCGGCUCAUCGCAUCCUGGGGCUGAAUUCGGUCCCAAGGGUUUGGCUGUUCGCCAAUUAAAGCGGUACGCGAGCUGGGUUCAGAACGUCGUGAGACAGUUCGGUCCCUAUCUGUCGUGGGCGCAGGAUAUUUGAAAGGCGCUGUCCCUAGUACGAGAGGACCGGGAUGGACGAACCUCUGGUGCACCAGUUGUCACGCCAGUGGCACAGCUGGGCAGCUAUGUUCGGAUCGGAUAAACGCUGAAAGCAUCUAAGCGUGAAGCCGGCCUUAAGAUAAGAUAUCCCACUGAGUCAAUCAGGUAAGACCCCUUGAAGACUACAAGGUUGAUAGGCACACAGUGUAAGCGGAGUGAUCCGUUCAGCUAGCGUGUACUAAUAGGUCGAGGGCUUGACCC